Molecule: ribosomal RNA, 402 nt
Filed under: uncultured bacterium
Lineage: Bacteria
Description: bacterial SSU rRNA
Rfam family: Bacterial small subunit ribosomal RNA
Source: RNAcentral
UCGGGAAUUUUGGGCAAUGGGCGAAAGCCUGACCCAGCAACGCCGCGUGAGGGAUGAAGUAUUUCGGUAUGUAAACCUCGAAAGAAUGGGAAGAAUAAAUGACGGUACCAUUUAUAAGCUCCGGCUAACUACGUGCCAGCAGCCGCGGUAAUACGUAGGGAGCAAGCGUUGUUCGGAUUUCCUGGGCGUAAAGGGCGCGUAGGCGGCGCGGUAAGUCACUUGUGAAAUCUCUGAGCUUAACUCAGAACGGCCAAGUGAUACUGCUGUGCUAGAGUGCGGAAGAGGCAACCGGAAUUCUUGGUGUAGCGGUGAAAUGCGUAGAUAUCAAGAGGAACACCUGAGGCGAAGGCGGGUUGCUGGGCCGACACUGACGCUGAUGCGCGAAAGCCAGGGGAGCAAACG